AUGCUGGCUUUGGCAGCACAUGUACUAAAAUUGGUGGAGUAAUACAGAGAGGAUGAGCAUGGCCCCUGCACAAGGAUGAUGCACAAAUUCCUGAAAAAUAAUUUC
This is a non-coding RNA of Canis lupus familiaris (dog), 105 nucleotides long. The record is from Rfam. Lineage: Eukaryota; Metazoa; Chordata; Mammalia; Carnivora; Canidae.